This 267-nucleotide long non-coding RNA is filed under the name Physcomitrium patens. RNAcentral's name for it is "long non-coding RNA (PPAT_LNC004168)". The record is from RNAcentral. Lineage: Eukaryota; Viridiplantae; Streptophyta; Bryopsida; Funariales; Funariaceae.
CGCUGCUGAAGUCAGUGUUGUAAUGGUGAAUCGGGAUUUUUAAAUGAAGUGGGUUUGAAUACUCUUGACUGUUUUGUGAAAUCGAGUUACGUUUGUGAUUGAAGGAUUAAAAGGGUGUCUAUAGGAUUGAGUAUGCGCAGUGAAUGAAAUUUAUUGGGUUAAUCUAACAAGACAGUUAGUGGAUACAAGAUCGUAAGUACAAAGCAGUAUUGAAGGUUAACAGUUUGGGUUGUACGGGGUUCUCUGUAACGUCUAGAGACCUACCGG